Molecule: ribosomal RNA, 537 nt
Filed under: Bos taurus (domestic cattle)
Lineage: Eukaryota; Metazoa; Chordata; Mammalia; Artiodactyla; Bovidae
Description: partial small subunit ribosomal RNA
Rfam family: Bacterial small subunit ribosomal RNA
Source: RNAcentral
GGCGUAAAACGUGUUAAAGCACCAUACCAAAUAGGGUUAAAUUCUAACUAAGCUGUAAAAAGCCAUGAUUAAAAUAAAAAUAAAUGACGAAAGUGACCCUACAAUAGCCGACGCACUAUAGCUAAGACCCAAACUGGGAUUAGAUACCCCACUAUGCUUAGCCCUAAACACAGAUAAUUACAUAAACAAAAUUAUUCGCCAGAGUACUACUAGCAACAGCUUAAAACUCAAAGGACUUGGCGGUGCUUUAUAUCCUUCUAGAGGAGCCUGUUCUAUAAUCGAUAAACCCCGAUAAACCUCACCAAUUCUUGCUAAUACAGUCUAUAUACCGCCAUCUUCAGCAAACCCUAAAAAGGAAAAAAAGUAAGCGUAAUUAUGAUACAUAAAAACGUUAGGUCAAGGUGUAACCUAUGAAAUGGGAAGAAAUGGGCUACAUUCUCUACACCAAGAGAAUCAAGCACGAAAGUUAUUAUGAAACCAAUAACCAAAGGAGGAUUUAGCAGUAAACUAAGAAUAGAGUGCUUAGUUGAAUUAGGC